GACGAACGCUGGCGGCGUGCUUAACACAUGCAAGUCGAACGGAAAGGCCCUGCUUGCAGGGUACUCGAGUGGCGAACGGGUGAGUAACACGUGGGUGAUCUGCCCUGCACUUCGGGAUAAGCCUGGGAAACUGGGUCUAAUACCGGAUAGGAGCCAUUUUUAGUGUGAUGGUUGGAAAGUUUUUUCGGUGUUGGAUGAGCUCGCGGCCUAUCAGCUUGUUGGGGGGGUAAUGGCCUACAAAGGCGGCGACGGGUAGCCGGACUGUGAGGGUGAACGGCCACAUUGGGACUUAGGGGCGGCCCAAGCGCCGACGGGAGGCAGAAGGGGGGAAGAUUGCACAAGGGGCGCAAGCCGGAUGCAGCGAGGCCGCGUGGGGGAUGACGGCCUUCGGGUUGAAAACUCCUUUCGCGAGGGACGAAGCUUUUUGUGACGGUACCUAGAUAAGAAGCACCGGCUAACUACGUG
This 465-nucleotide ribosomal RNA is filed under the name uncultured bacterium. RNAcentral's name for it is "partial 16S ribosomal RNA". It matches the Rfam family "Bacterial small subunit ribosomal RNA", at positions 28 to 507 of the family's 1533-position model. The record is from RNAcentral.